AACGAACGCUGGCGGCACGCCUAACACAUGCAAGUCGAGCGAGACCUUCGGGUUUAGCGGCGGACGGGUUAGUAACGCGUGGGAACGUACCCUUUUCUACGGAAUAGCCUCGGGAAACUGGGAGUAAUACCGUAUACGCCCUUUUGGGGAAAGAUUUAUCGGAGAAGGAUCGGCCCGCGUCUGAUUAGAUAGUUGGUGGGGUAAUGGCCUACCAAGUCUGCGAUCAGUAGCUGGUUUGAGAGGAUGAUCAGCAACACUGGGACUGAGACACGGCCCAGACUCCUACGGGAGGCAGCAGUGGGGAAUCUUAGACAAUGGGCGCAAGCCUGAUCUAGCGAUGCCGCGUGAGUGACGAAGGCCUUAGGGUCGUAAAGCUCUUUCGCCAGGGAUGAUAAUGACAGUACCUGGUAAAGAAACCCCGGCUAACUCCGUGCCAGCCGCCGCCGUAAUAC
This 452-nucleotide ribosomal RNA is filed under the name uncultured bacterium. Its description in RNAcentral is "bacterial SSU rRNA". It matches the Rfam family "Bacterial small subunit ribosomal RNA", at positions 29 to 526 of the family's 1533-position model. The record is from RNAcentral.